This 706-nucleotide ribosomal RNA is filed under the name uncultured bacterium. Its description in RNAcentral is "bacterial SSU rRNA". It matches the Rfam family "Bacterial small subunit ribosomal RNA", at positions 797 to 1501 of the family's 1533-position model. The record is from RNAcentral.
ACGCCGUAAACGAUGAAUACUAGGUGUCGGGGGAGACCUCGGUGCCGACGCUAACGCAUUAAGUAUUCCGCCUGGGGAGUACGGUCGCAAGACUGAAACUCAAAAGAAUUGACGGGGACCCGCACAAGCAGCGGAGCAUGUGGUUUAAUUCGAAGCAACGCGAAGAACCUUACCAGGUCUUGACAUCCCUAUGCAAUAAUCUUAACCGAUUAGUUCCCUUUGGGGACGUAGGUGACAGGUGGUGCAUGGUUGUCGUCAGCUCGUGUCGUGAGAUGUUGGGUUAAGUCCCGCAACGAGCGCAACCCUUGUCUUUAGUUGCCAUCAGAUAAUGCUGGGCACUCUAGAGAGACUGCCGGUGACAAACCGGAGGAAGGUGGGGAUGACGUCAAAUCAUCAUGCCCCUUAUGAUCUGGGCUACACACGUGCUACAAUGGCUGGUACAACGGGCAGCGAAAGAGUAAUCUGGAGCGAAUCCUAUAAAGCCAGUCCCAGUUCGGAUUGUGGGCUGAAACUCGCCCACAUGAAGUUGGAGUUGCUAGUAAUCGCGAAUCAGAAUGUCGCGGUGAAUGCGUUCCCGGGUCUUGUACACACCGCCCGUCACACCAUGGAAGUUGGAAGCGCCCGAAGUCGGUGAUCUAACCUAUUUAUAGGAGGAAGCCGCCGAAGGUGAAGUCAAUGACUAGGGUGAAGUCGUAACAAGGUAACC